UAGGUCCUACGGGGCGCAGCAGUGAGGAAUAUUGGUCAAUGGGCGCAAGCCUGAACCAGCCAAGUCGCGUGAGGGAUGACGGUCCUAUGGAUUGUAAACCUCUUUUGUCGGGGAGCAAGGCCCGCCACGUGUGGCGGGAAGGAGAGUACCCGAAGAAAAAGCAUCGGCUAACUCCGUGCCAGCAGCCGCGGUAAUACGGAGGAUGCGAGCGUUAUCCGGAUUUAUUGGGUUUAAAGGGUACGUAGGCGGAAGGUUAAGUCAGCGGGCAAAUGGCGGUGGUCAACACCGGCCUGCCGUUGAAACUG
Molecule: ribosomal RNA, 305 nt
Filed under: uncultured bacterium
Lineage: Bacteria
Description: bacterial SSU rRNA
Rfam family: Bacterial small subunit ribosomal RNA
Source: RNAcentral